Molecule: ribosomal RNA, 301 nt
Filed under: uncultured bacterium
Lineage: Bacteria
Description: partial 16S ribosomal RNA
Rfam family: Bacterial small subunit ribosomal RNA
Source: RNAcentral
CAGUCGCCGCGGGAAUACGAAGGGUGCAAGCGUUAAUCGGAAUUACUGGGCGUAAAGCGUGCGUAGGCGGUGAGUUAAGUCUGCUGUGAAAUCCCCGGGCUCAACCUGGGAAUGGCAGUGGAUACUGGCUCGCUAGAGUGUGUCAGAGGAUGGUGGAAUUCCCGGUGUAGCGGUGAAAUGCGUAGAGAUCGGGAGGAACAUCAGUGGCGAAGGCGGCCAUCUGGGACAACACUGACGCUGAGGCACGAAAGCGUGGGGAGCAAACAGGAUUAGAUACCCCGUAGUCCCUGUCUCUUAUACC